Molecule: long non-coding RNA, 90 nt
Organism: Empidonax traillii (willow flycatcher)
Lineage: Eukaryota; Metazoa; Chordata; Aves; Passeriformes; Tyrannidae
Exons: 3
Source: RefSeq, a predicted model, not a curated record
GAGAUACUUUAAAAACAUACCAUGUGUGGUGGGUUGACCCCAGCUGGACACCAGGUGCCCACCAAACCUGCACUAUCACUCCCCUCCACA